UCGGUUAAAUUGUCUGUUUUUCUUCGAUCUGCUUGCUUUAUGUUCCAAUCCGUUAAACAUACAAAAAUCAAAUUAGAAAAAUCAAAACCCUAAUCAAAGUUAAAAUCUACUUUAACUCAAAUAUCUGAAGAUAAUUAAAAUCACCUGAAACAGAAAAUCAUCAAAUACCACAAUCAAUUGAUUCUGAAAUCAAUUUGAAAAUUCUCAGUGAAGAAUCACGAGAGUUUUUUGAAGAUCGUCACGAUUCAUGAACGCUCCGUGAAAAUCAAACCGCAGUGCAUUUUGAAUUGGUGUUGGAAAAGGAGAAGCAAAAUGAGAACAUGACAAAACUCUGAUCGAAUGGAAGAUCGAUCGGAGAAUGAAACAGAUCGGAGAUGGAGAACGAUGAGAGCGAAUUUGGAUUGAGAGAGAGAAAGUUUCUCCUUUUUCCUUCGGAGCGUUUAGUUUUUCCUUUU
This 455-nucleotide long non-coding RNA is filed under the name Trifolium pratense (red clover). RNAcentral's name for it is "long non-coding RNA (TPRA_LNC005018)". The record is from RNAcentral. Lineage: Eukaryota; Viridiplantae; Streptophyta; Magnoliopsida; Fabales; Fabaceae.